This 373-nucleotide ribosomal RNA is filed under the name uncultured organism. RNAcentral's name for it is "partial 16S ribosomal RNA". It matches the Rfam family "Bacterial small subunit ribosomal RNA", at positions 527 to 896 of the family's 1533-position model. The record is from RNAcentral.
GUAGGUGGCAAGCGUUGUCCGGAAUUAUUGGGCGUAAAGCGCGCGCAGGCGGUUCUUUAAGUCUGAUGUGAAAGCCCACGGCUCAACCGUGGAGGGUCAUUGGAAACUGGAGAACUUGAGUACAGAAGAGGAAAGCGGAAUUCCACGUGUAGCGGUGAAAUGCGUAGAGAUGUGGAGGAACACCAGUGGCGAAGGCGGCUUUCUGGUCUGUAACUGACGCUGAGGCGCGAAAGCGUGGGGAGCAAACAGGGAUUAGAUACCCUGGUAGUCCACGCCGUAAACGAUGAGUGCUAAGUGUUAGGGGGGUUUCCGCCCCCUUAGUGCUGCGGCUAACGCAUUAAGCACUCCGCCUGGGGAUACGGCCGCAAGGCUG